UGAAUACGAGAUGCUACGGCGUCGAAGCAGUCUAUGUCAUACUUCCAAGAAAAGCUUGCACUGUCAUAAACAAAUAAUGCCUGUACCAUAACCGACACAGGUGGGUAGGUAGAGUAUACUAAGGGGCGCGAGAUAACUCUCUCUAAGGAACUCGGCAAAAUGACUCCGUAACUUCGGGAGAAGGAGUGCCUUAUUUAUAAGGUUGCAAUAACAAGAUCCAAGCAACUGUUUACCAAAAACACAGGUCUCCGCUAAGUCGUAAGACGAUGUAUGGGGGCUGACGCCUGCCCAGUGCCAGAAGGUUAAAGAAGUUGGUUAGCAUCCGCGAAGCUGAUAACUGAAGCCCUGGUGAACGGCGGCCGUAACUAUAACGGUCCUAAGGUAGCGAAAUUCCUUGUCGGGUAAGUUCCGACCCGCACGAAAGGCGUAAUGAUUUGGAUACUGUCUCGGAGAGGGGCUCGGUGAAAUAGACUUGUCUGUGAAGAUGCGGACUACCUGCACCAGGACAGAAAGACCCUAUGAAGCUUUACUGUAACCUGAAAUUGAAAUUGGACUUUACUUGCGCAGUAUAGGUGGGAGGCGUUGAGAAUAUUCUUGCGGGAUUAUUGGAGCCAUCAGUGAGAUACCACUCUUGUAAUGUUAGAUUUCUAACUUUGUAUCAUUAUCUGGUCAAAGAACAGUUUCAGGCGGGCAGUUUGACUGGGGCGGUCGCCUCCUAAACGGUAACGGAGGCGCACAAAGGUUUCCUCUGAACGGGUAGAAAUCGUAUCUAGAGUGUAAAGGCAUAAGGAAGCUUGACUGUGAGACCUACAAGUCGAGCAGGGACGAAAGUCGGUCUUAGUGAUCUGACGGUGCUGAGUGGAAAGGCCGUCACUCAACGGAUAAAAGUUACUCUAGGAUAACAGGCUGAUCUCCCCCAAGAGUUCACAUCGACGGGGAGGUUUGGCACCUCGAUGUCGGCUCAUCGCAUCCUGGGGCGGUAGUACGUCCCAAGGGUUGGGCUGUUCGCCCAUGAAAGCGGUACGCGAGCUGGGUUCAGAACGUCGUGAGACAGUUCGGUCCAUAUCCGGUGUAGGCGUUAGAAUAUUGAGAGGAGCCUUCUUUAGUACGAGAGGACCGAGAAGGACAUACCUCUGGUGUACCAGUUAUCGUGCCAACGGUAAACGCUGGGUAGCUAUGUGUGGAGUGGAUAACCGCUGAAAGCAUCUAAGUGGGAAGCCCACCUCAAGAUAAGUAUUCUCAUCA
Molecule: ribosomal RNA, 1245 nt
Filed under: metagenome
Description: bacterial LSU rRNA
Rfam family: Bacterial large subunit ribosomal RNA
Source: RNAcentral